UUGCUGGCUAUGUCGUGUGGAUACUUCGAUCAUUAAGCCAAUGGUAAGCUAUCUUUUUUGGGCAAAGACUAUCCAGGUUCAAUUCCUGGGUGAUCACCUCUCUUGUCCACUGACGCAAUCCAGCAUUUUU
Molecule: vault RNA, 130 nt
Filed under: Amphimedon queenslandica
Lineage: Eukaryota; Metazoa; Porifera; Demospongiae; Haplosclerida; Niphatidae
Rfam family: Vault RNA
About the family: This family of RNAs are found as part of the enigmatic vault ribonucleoprotein complex. The complex consists of a major vault protein (MVP), two minor vault proteins (VPARP and TEP1), and several small untranslated RNA molecules.
Source: Rfam by way of RNAcentral